GGUAAAGUGCCUGAAUAAAAGGGUCAUUUUGAUGUAAUGAUAAAUAUAGAAUUUAUUCUAUCUUUAUUG
This 69-nucleotide transfer RNA is filed under the name Challia fletcheri. RNAcentral's name for it is "tRNA-Ile". Lineage: Eukaryota; Metazoa; Arthropoda; Insecta; Dermaptera; Pygidicranidae. The record is from RNAcentral.